RNAcentral lists this long non-coding RNA (1126 nucleotides) under Athene cunicularia (burrowing owl). RNAcentral's name for it is "lncRNA (ENSACUG00000014411.1)". Lineage: Eukaryota; Metazoa; Chordata; Aves; Strigiformes; Strigidae. The record is from RNAcentral.
GUGCUGAACACCCAGAACCUCUGUCACCCCAACCUGACAGUUUAAGGUCCAGGUGCCACCAAACACCUCCACUUUUUUUCCCCGUCUUUAAGGAGAAGAGCGGCCUCGCCGCCGCGCGUGGUAAUCUGCUGUGUCAUGAGGCUGCGAGUUCAACCCUUGCCGAAUCCGUGCUGGGGUGGAACCCAACGCCUGACCUGCUCUGCGCGAGCGCUCUCCCACGUCCUCGCUGGGAGGCUGGCGGGUCUCGGUGUGGGGGGCCUCCCCCUCCCAAACUGGGGAAACUCCCGCCCAUGCUCUGCAGAGCGUCCCCCUGUGUCGCCUUCCAGGGGCCCCCAAACCCCCCCGAGAGACGCCAGGCAGGUUCCGCACUCACGUCAAAGAGCAGGCGAGACAUUUAACCAACUACUGACAAACCAAACCAGGUGGGAGACAGGCGAGAGACCCCGUCCCAGGGCCGGCCGGCGGGACACGGCUCCCCGCAGCCAGAGGACGGGGACGCAGAGCCCUGGCACCCAGCGAGCGCUCUGCGCCCGGCCAAGGCCACUCGCUGACAUACUGCAGCUUCCAGCAAUUUUCUACACAGGACGGUCGUGCAGGGACAAGAGCGCUGAAGUCCCCCCCUCCCGCCAGCCGUGCCCUCCACACACGACUGGCUCAGCCCCGGCCAGGGACGUGCCUGCCCGGCAAACUGGGAAGACUGGGAGUGCCCGACCACCACGUGUGGCCCCUCACUCCUCCCUGAGCCCCCCCACCGGUUCCUUCCCCUCCCCGGGACAGACUCGGGCCCUUCCGCUGGUGUCUUACUCUGCAGAGUGUCGUUCAUGGCGAGGAGGGGUGUCUGUUAAUGGGUACGGAAAACACAACGCCUCUCCCUCCGCUGUGGGCUGAUGGAGCCAACGUUCGUGCUUCGGCAGCGAUAAAACGGAGAUCGGUGCCGUCCCUGUGAAAACAUCUGUGUUCAGUGGACACACAACCUCCUACCGCAGGUUCGACGGGUGGGCUGAGGUUGGAGACUUCUGUCCGUGGCUACGGUGGUGCCAGAGGACGUUCCCUUUCCCCUUGGCUGCAAGGUGGGNNNNNNNNNNNNNNNNNNNNNNNNNNNNNNNNNNNNNNNNNNNNNNNNNNN